GCACUGAUGGUCCAAUGGCAGAAUUCUUGCCUUCUGUGCGGGAGACCUGGGUUCGAUCCCUGGCCAAUGCA
This 71-nucleotide transfer RNA is filed under the name Loxodonta africana (African savanna elephant). It matches the Rfam family "tRNA". Rfam says of the family: Transfer RNA (tRNA) molecules are approximately 80 nucleotides in length. Lineage: Eukaryota; Metazoa; Chordata; Mammalia; Proboscidea; Elephantidae. The record is from Rfam by way of RNAcentral.